GCCAAAAACGAAUGACCCUGUGUGCAACACAUGUUGAACUAUCACGCAAAGUACUAUAUAGAUGGUACCUAGUCCCCAUGCGCCACAAACACAGUUACCCGAAUACAUCAGACACCUGCUGGAGGUGCCAAACUCAAAAAGGCACGAUGCUGCAUACCUGGUGGCAAUGUGACAAACUCCAGACCUACUGGCAAGACGUUCAAAAUCUCGCACAAAAAUUCAACUCAGGCCGGAAACAUUUC
Non-coding RNA from Pelobates cultripes (western spadefoot toad), 242 nucleotides. NCBI's taxonomy places the organism in Eukaryota, Metazoa, Chordata, Amphibia, Anura, Pelobatidae. The record is from the annotation of a GenBank genome assembly.